RNAcentral lists this ribosomal RNA (346 nucleotides) under uncultured bacterium. RNAcentral describes it as "bacterial SSU rRNA". It matches the Rfam family "Bacterial small subunit ribosomal RNA", at positions 8 to 349 of the family's 1533-position model. The record is from RNAcentral.
AGAGUUUGAUCAUGGCUCAGGAUGAACGCUAGCGACAGGCUUAACACAUGCAAGUCGAGGGGGCAUCAUGAGGUAGCAAUACCUUGAUGGCGACCGGCGCACGGGUGAGUAACGCGUAUGCAACCUGCCCGAUACCGGGGGUAUAGCCCAUGGAAACGUGGAUUAACACCCCAUAGUACUUUUAUCCUGCCUGGGAUGGGAGUUAAAUGUUCAAGGUAUCGGAUGGGCAUGCGUCCUAUAGUAGUUGGCGGGGUAACAGCCCACAAGACGAUGAUAGGUAGGGGUUCUGGAGAGGAAGGUCCCCCANAUUGGAACUGAGACACGGUCCAAACUCCGUACGGGAGCA